AGAGUUUGAUCAUGGCUCAGGAUGAACGCUAGCUACAGGCUUAACACAUGCAAGUCGAGGGGAAACGAUAGAGAAAGCUUGCUUUUUCUAGGCGUCGACCGGCGCACGGGUGAGUAACGCGUAUCCAACCUGCCCACCACUUGGGGAUAACCUUGCGAAAGUAAGACUAAUACCCAAUGACGUCUCUAGAAGACAUCUGAAAGGGAUUAAAGAUUUAUCGGUGAUGGAUGGGGAUGCGUCUGAUUAGCUUGUUGGCGGGGUAACGGCCCACCAAGGCAACGAUCAGUAGGGGUUCUGAGAGGAAGGUCCCCCACAUUGGAACUGAGACACGGUCCAAACUCCUACGGGAGGCAGCAGUGAGGAAUAUUGGUCAAUGGGCGAGAGCCUGAACCAGCCAAGUAGCGUGCAGGAUGACGGCCCUAUGGGUUGUAAACUGCUUUUAUAAGGGAAUAAAGUGAGCCUCGUGAGGCUUUUUGCAUGUACCUUAUGAAUAAGGACCGGCUAAUUCCGUGCCAGCAGCCGCGGUAAUACGGAAGGUCCUGGCGUUAUCCGGAUUUAUUGGGUUUAAAGGGAGCGUAGGCCGGAGAUUAAGCGUGUUGUGAAAUGUAGAUGCUCAACGUCUGCACUGCAGCGCGAACUGGUUUCCUUGAGUACGCACAAAGUGGGCGGAAUUCGUGGUGUAGCGGUGAAAUGCUUAGAUAUCACGAAGAACUCCGAUUGCGAAGGCAGCUCACUGGAGCGCAACUGACGCUGAAGCUCGAAAGUGCGGGUAUCGAACAGGAUUAGAUACCCUGGUAGUCCGCACGGUAAACGAUGGAUGCCCGCUGUUGGUCUGAAUAGGUCAGCGGCCAAGCGAAAGCAUUAA
RNAcentral lists this ribosomal RNA (865 nucleotides) under uncultured bacterium. RNAcentral's name for it is "bacterial SSU rRNA". It matches the Rfam family "Bacterial small subunit ribosomal RNA", at positions 8 to 863 of the family's 1533-position model. The record is from RNAcentral.